This is a long non-coding RNA of Echinops telfairi (small Madagascar hedgehog), 1010 nucleotides long. RefSeq lists it as uncharacterized. NCBI's taxonomy places the organism in Eukaryota, Metazoa, Chordata, Mammalia, Afrosoricida, Tenrecidae. The record is from RefSeq and is a predicted model, not a curated record. The transcript has 3 exons.
CAGGUAGGGGUCCCCGAGCCUGCGCCCACCCAAUCCUCAAGCCUCCGGGGACCUCGCGAGAAAAGGAAAUCGGGAAUCACCGGCCGGCGCAGGAGUGACUGUCCUGUUACAGAAAAACCAAAAAGGGCCCUACGGAAAUGCAGGACGGUGGGAAAAUCGUAUGCUCGCCAGACUCAACCAUGGUUCCUUCUUUUGGAAAAAGACCGCCGUUCCAGCUUCUUCUAGUACAGCGUGUUCUGCAGGCACCCUUAACAAUGUCUAGAGCUUGCCAGGCUGGACUGUGUUUCAUCAGGAUAAGGGUGUGGGAGCAGUUUAAACACCAACUCUGCCCAAUCAGCAAGGCCCAGAAGAAAGGAGGGACGCUGAUGCUGUGACCUGACCGUGUCCUAUUACUGAAGUUAUCCAAAAUGUCAAGAAGACCUCACAGAUUCCUGAGGAUGGCAAGCGCUGCCGGCCAAGCUAUUCCUUCCAUUGCUGAUGCUGUCUGUGGGCCACUCUGGGACUCUCUCAUAACUGAACAUUUUAUAAGACAGUGACUGGACUAUUACUACAGACUGUUCUCUUGCUGAAAGAUCAAGAUUUUUGAUUUAUCAAUUAAUGCUAAAAUGUGAUUGGAAUAUAACUCAUUUCUGUGUAACCCCUUACCUAUAUAAUGUAACCUUACUUAAUUGGGAUUUGAUUAGAAAACGUUUGCAAGGGUUUAAGGGAAACAUUUCAUUAGAUAUUGAUUUAGCUAAAAAAAGGAUAUUUUCUAUAUGUUCAGAGAUAGGCUCAAGCCUUCCACUGGCUCUGAGGUAAUUAAGCAAAUGGUGGAUGGCCUAGAAGGAGGCUAGUUCCCGUGUGCUUGGGGGAAAAGCAUUUCUCAUAGCUUAAGUUCCAGUCUGACUGUGCUGUGCAUCACAAUUUUGAUGCUUGCAGUCUCAUGCUGCUUUUAUAGGAAGCUGAGAUAUGAAAAGAGACCAUGUUGCCUCUAUGACACUAUUAAAUCUUAAACAUAAUACAGAAAUGGG